UACGGAGGGUGCGAGCGUUGUCCGGAAUCAUUGGGCGUAAAGCGCGUGUAGGCGGUUCUGUAAGUCUGCUGUGAAAGUCCAGGGCUCAACCCUGGGAUGCCGGUGGAUACUGCAGGGCUAGAGUACGGAAGAGGCGAGUGGAAUUCCCGGUGUAGCGGUGAAAUGCGCAGAUAUCGGGAGGAACACCUAUUGCGAAGGCAGCUCGCUGGGACGUUACUGACGCUGAGACGCGAAAGCGUGGGGAGCAAACAGG
This 253-nucleotide ribosomal RNA is filed under the name uncultured bacterium. RNAcentral describes it as "partial 16S ribosomal RNA". It matches the Rfam family "Bacterial small subunit ribosomal RNA", at positions 524 to 776 of the family's 1533-position model. The record is from RNAcentral.